UACGAAGGGGGCUAGCGUUGCUCGGAAUUACUGGGCGUAAAGGGCGCGUAGGCGGACAGUUAAGUCAGAGGUGAAAGCCCAGGGCUCAACCCUGGAAUUGCCUUUGAUACUGGCUGUCUUGAGUAUGGGAGAGGUAAGCGGAACUCCGAGUGUAGAGGUGAAAUUCGUAGAUAUUCGGAAGAACACCAGUGGCGAAGGCGGCUUACUGGCCCAUUACUGACGCUGAGGAGCGAAAGCGUGGGGAGCGAACAGG
This 253-nucleotide ribosomal RNA is filed under the name uncultured bacterium. RNAcentral describes it as "partial 16S ribosomal RNA". It matches the Rfam family "Bacterial small subunit ribosomal RNA", at positions 524 to 776 of the family's 1533-position model. The record is from RNAcentral.